ACGGGAGGCAGCAGUAGGGAAUCUUCCGCAAUGGACGAAAGUCUGACGGAGCAACGCCGCGUGAGUGAUGAAGGUUUUCGGAUCGUAAAGCUCUGUUGUUAGGGAAGAACAAGUGCCGUUCAAAUAGGGCGGCACCUUGACGGUACCUAACCAGAAAGCCACGGCUAACUACGUGCCAGCAGCCGCGGUAAUACGUAGGUGGCAAGCGUUGUCCGGAAUUAUUGGGCGUAAAGGGCUCGCAGGCGGUUUCUUAAGUCUGAUGUGAAAGCCCCCGGCUCAACCGGGGAGGGUCAUUGGAAACUGGGGAACUUGAGUGCAGAAGAGGAGAGUGGAAUUCCACGUGUAGCGGUGAAAUGCGUAGAGAUGUGGAGGAACAGCAGUGGCGAGGCGACUCUCUGGUCUGUAACUGACGCUGAGGAGCGAAAGCGUGGGGAGCGAACAGGAUUAGAUACCCUGGUAGUCCACGCCGUAAACGAUGAGUGCUAAGUGUUAGGGGGUUUCCGCCCCUUAGUGCUGCAGCUAACGCAUAAGCACUCCGCCUGGGGAGUACGGUCGCAAGACUGAAACUCAAAGGAAUUGACGGGGGCCCGCACAAGCGGUGGAGCAUGUGGUUUAAUUCGAAGCAACGCGAAGAACCUUACCAGGUCUUGACAUCCUCUGACAAUCCUAGAGAUAGGACGUCCCCUUCGGGGGCAGAGUGACAGGUGGUGCAUGGUUGUCGUCAGCUCGUGUCGUGAGAUGUUGGGUUAAGUCCCGCAACGAGCGCAACCCUUGAUCUUAGUUGCCAGCAUUCAGUUGGGCACUCUAAGGUGACUGCCGGUGACAAACCGGAGGAAGGUGGGGAUGACGUCAAAUCAUCAUGCCCCUUAUGACCUGGGCUACACACGUGCUACAAUGGACAGAACAAAGGGCAGCGAAACCGCGAGGUUAAGCCAAUCCCACAAAUCUGUUCUCAGUUCGGAUCGCAGUCUGCAACUC
Molecule: ribosomal RNA, 978 nt
Filed under: Bacillus siamensis
Lineage: Bacteria; Bacillati; Bacillota; Bacilli; Caryophanales; Bacillaceae
Description: bacterial SSU rRNA
Rfam family: Bacterial small subunit ribosomal RNA
Source: RNAcentral